This 496-nucleotide ribosomal RNA is filed under the name uncultured bacterium. Its description in RNAcentral is "partial 16S ribosomal RNA". It matches the Rfam family "Bacterial small subunit ribosomal RNA", at positions 29 to 507 of the family's 1533-position model. The record is from RNAcentral.
AUGAACGCUGGCGGCGUGCCUCAUACCUGCAAGUCGAGCGAACAGACGAGGAGCUUGCUCCUUCGACGUUAGCGGCGGACGGGUGAGUAACACGUAGGUAACCUACCUAUAAGACUGGGAUAACUUCGGGAAACCGGAGCUAAUACCGGAUAAUAUUUCGAACCGCAUGGUUCGAUAGUGAAAGAUGGCUUUGCUAUCACUUAUAGAUGGACCUGCGCCGUAUUAGCUAGUUGGUAAGGUAACGGCUUACCAAGGCAACGAUACGUAGCCGACCUGAGAGGGUGAUCGGCCACACUGGAACUGAGACACGGUCCAGACUCCUACGGGAGGCAGCAGUAGGGAAUCUUCCGCAAUGGGCGAAAGCCUGACGGAGCAACGCCGCGUGAGUGAUGAAGGUCUUCGGAUCGUAAAACUCUGUUAUUAGGGAAGAACAAACGUGUAAGUAACUGUGCACGUCUUGACGGUACCUAAUCAGAAAGCCACGGCUAACUACGUG